CUAAAUAACGUUCUUGUUAAAAUUAUUAGUAAUAAUAUUUAUAAACUUCAUAUAUAUAUAUAAUAUAGUAAUGGUGGAGACAGCAUGCGAUCCAGCUAUCGAAAGACAUUUAAAAGGUCACAAGGGUGCAAUUACCGGUCUCCACUUUCAUCCUAAUAAUAAUCAACUUGUAUCUAGUAGUUUGGAUAAAACCUUGAUGUUAUGGAAUUUAACUGAUUCAAUUAGAGGAUUUCAAUUAAAGGCGCACCAAGAUGCUGCAUUGGAUGUUAGUUAUGCGCCUUCUGGUGAAAUCAUAGCCAGUGCAUCAAGAGAUCGUUCUAUAAGAAUAUGGAUACCUAGUAGGAUAACAGGACAAUCUAUAGAUUUCAAAGCACAUUCGGGAGCUGUAAGCUCAUUAGAUUUUUGUCCAAAUGGAGAACGGCUGCUCAGUGCGUCGUAUGAUAAAACUUGUAAAUUGUGGAUGUUAUGUAAAAGAAAAUUUCUUUUAUCAUUUAAUGGACACACAAAUUGGGUCAGAUGUGCCAAAUUUUCUCCUGAUAGCAGACUUAUAAUAUCCUGCAGCGAUGAUAAAACUGUUAAAUUAUGGGAUGUCUCUACUGGAAAAUGUGUUAAAACUAUUAAUGAAGUUAAAACUCCAGCCUUAUAUGUGGAAUUCCAUCCAAGUGGCGGUGUUAUUGGAUCAGCUAAUAUCGGUGGAUACAUAAAAUUAUACGAUCUAAGAAUGGGUUCGUUGUAUCAACAUUAUGCCAUCCACAAAGGUCCUGUGCACGUUGCCAAAUUUCAUCCCAAAGGAAAUUUUAUGUUAACUGCUUCCGAAGAUACUACUAUGAAAGUUUUAGAUUUAUUAGAAGGCCGUCCAAUCUAUACGCUCAAAGGACACAAUGGUGCUGUUAGAUCGAUCGCGUUUUCUCUCAACGGAGAUUACUUUGCGUCGGGUGGUGCUGAUUUUCAGCUUUUAACGUGGAAGACUAAUUUUGAUAAAGACGAUAACAAUAGAAAAGUUCCUCGAAUAUUCAUACCGCCUGUUCAAGAUAUUAAAUAUGAAGAUACAUGGUCAAGCGACACGGAUACUCGAGAAGAAUCAAGACACGAGAAAACUGAAGAUUAUGUAGAACAGCAAGAGAAAUAGGACUCGGUGGUAAGAAAAAGAAGAAAGAGAAAAGUAACUUUGGUGUUUUAUUCCACGUCAAAUCUUUUAUAUAUCUUAUCAGUGAUAUGGCGUCGCAGGUCUACGAAUUUCGAGUUGAAAUGACGUGCGAAGGAUGCGUUAAUUCCGUUCAAAAUGUUCUUAACAAACAGGCAGGUGUAAAUGAUAUUAACGUUAACUUAGAUAAUAAAAUGGUAUCUGUGAAAACAACAUUAUCCUCUGAUGAGGUAUUACAAACUAUUAAAAAAACUGGCAAGGAGUGUACAUUUUUAGGUGUUAAACAAUAAAAUUUACACAAGCGUUAACAAAUAUA
RNA transcript from Polistes canadensis, 1460 nucleotides. It is a transcript of the gene named POC1 centriolar protein homolog A-like, with no coding region annotated. The record is from RefSeq and is a predicted model, not a curated record. The transcript has 7 exons. NCBI's taxonomy places the organism in Eukaryota, Metazoa, Arthropoda, Insecta, Hymenoptera, Vespidae.